RNAcentral lists this ribosomal RNA (429 nucleotides) under Lactiplantibacillus plantarum. RNAcentral describes it as "bacterial SSU rRNA". It matches the Rfam family "Bacterial small subunit ribosomal RNA", at positions 377 to 797 of the family's 1533-position model. Lineage: Bacteria; Bacillati; Bacillota; Bacilli; Lactobacillales; Lactobacillaceae. The record is from RNAcentral.
GAAGUCUUGAUGCGAGCACGCCGCGUGAGUGAAGAAGGGUUUCGGCUCGUAAAACUCUGUUGUUAAAGAAGAACAUAUCUGAGAGUAACUGUUCAGGUAUUGACGGUAUUUAACCAGAAAGCCACGGCUAACUACGUGCCAGCAGCCGCGGUAAUACGUAGGUGGCAAGCGUUGUCCGGAUUUAUUGGGCGUAAAGCGAGCGCAGGCGGUUUUUUAAGUCUGAUGUGAAAGCCUUCGGCUCAACCGAAGAAGUGCAUCGGAAACUGGGAAACUUGAGUGCAGAAGAGGACAGUGGAACUCCAUGUGUAGCGGUGAAAUGCGUAGAUAUAUGGAAGAACACCAGUGGCGAAGGCGGCUGUCUGGUCUGUAACUGACGCUGAGGCUCGAAAGUAUGGGUAGCAAACAGGAUUAGAUACCCCUAGUAGUCAA